UGCACCCCCUUUUCUUUCUAGAGGCGC
This 27-nucleotide non-coding RNA is filed under the name Mus musculus (house mouse). The record is from RNAcentral. Lineage: Eukaryota; Metazoa; Chordata; Mammalia; Rodentia; Muridae.